RNAcentral lists this unclassified non-coding RNA (1780 nucleotides) under Leishmania donovani. RNAcentral describes it as "gene:unknown". The record is from RNAcentral. Lineage: Eukaryota; Euglenozoa; Kinetoplastea; Trypanosomatida; Trypanosomatidae.
GCCCGAAGGUGCUCGGGAAGACGCGCAUACACGCAUGAUCGUACGUAUACCCUUCAAAGGCGGUGAUGUGCACCAAAUCAUGCUCCACGCAUGAGGCUGUGAAUGCGCGUUUUGGGCUGGUCCGUUUCUGCGCGUGUCUGUGGGGGCAUGUAAAGAACCCUUUUGUGCUCUUACUCGCCCUCUCGCCGCCGACCCGACCGCUGCUCUCCACUAACCGCACACCUCCGCUGCCCACUUCAGCUUAGUAUCACAGGGCCCGGGGACCCUACUCUGCGUGUGUGUGUGGGUGGGUGGGAAGCCAAAGCAGCCGUCUCUCCCACCCCCCCCCCCUCUAUCCCCCUGCCCCUGCCGAACCACUUCGGGUGGUGACGGGGGUUCCUGUGCCCACGACGCAGAGAGGCCAGAGCGACCUGCGACAGCGCACACGCUUGUGUCAUCCAUGUGAUGGGCGAAGCUUCCGCGUGACUCGAGCGCAUCCCGCCCGACGCUCACUGCCUACUGGUGUGUGUGCGUGGGGUGGGUGGGUGGGGGCCCUGGGACACCCCCGAGGGGCGCAGCAGGUGGCGACCGGCAGAGAGGGUCUGCGUAGAGUGUGAGGCGGCGGCCGUGCUCAGCUGACUGAGUCGGCGCACUGCUGUGCCGGCGUGUGUCUGCUGCUGCCUCUGCGCACGGCGCGGAUGUGUGGGGCGGGGGUGCAGUGUGGCGUGUGACCGGUGCUGUAUGGCCGAGAACGAAUGCACACGCGUUGGCAGAAAAGGCAACCUGUGCUCGUGUGCCCAUUGCCGUUACCGUUAUACAACGGCCUCACUGCUUAAGAGAGCUCGGUGUUCUGGAGACUCUGUGAUGAUGCGUGUUGCGGUUUUCCCUUUUUUUGUCGUUUGCCCUCAACUCUGCAGUGUGUGUGUGUGUAAGCGAGAGCCGUUUAGGUGGAGGUGGUGACACGCAUGCGCAGGACUUGUCUCCUUUUCUUUCUUAGCGCGCAUGCGUCUGUGUUUUACGUGUGAGUAAGUGCGUGCGCGUGCGCGUCGCCUCAAGCACGCCCCCUCUUUUGUGGUUUGUCUCGUGCGUGUUCGUGGUCGAGGUGGCUCUGCUCUCUCGGCCUCUCAUGACCACCUCUCCCCUCUCCCUCUCUCUCAUCGUUGCCACGUCCGUGCGUGUCUCUCGUUUCCCUCCGCUGCCCAUCUAGCUAUAUAUGACGGUGAAGGCGUUACUUGGAAAGUGAAUGCUGAUGACUAAUUCGAGCUCGCUCGCUCUCUCUUCCCCUUACCUUCUCCUUUUGCUAAACCGACACGCAAGUGCACCCGCUCCUGCGGACAUGCAUGCCUUCCACAUGCCCACCUCUCCCUCCCCUGUGUGUAUGCACGUGUGUGUGUGUGCGCACCUGUCUGUGUGUGUGCUGUGCUGUUGCCUAACCCCUAUCGUCCUCUGCUCUUUCCUCUCUCCUUGCUCGCCGCGUGGUGCCAUGCGCGUGCGUGCGUGCCACGGGUGUGUGUGUGGGGGGGGGGUGGUAGCGGAGCUGGUGUUUUGGCAGCUGAAUCAGUUUCCUUAGCGGUUGGCUGGUUGCUUUUUUUUCCGUGCCGUUUCGCGCGCUGCGGUGAUGUCGUUCGCCUUCCGUCGUCCACCCGCUUCGAUCAUUGCCUACCUCGUGUGGUGCUCUCUUUUCGUGUCUCCGAGAGAGUUGUUGUCUGCAUGGUGCACACAGGCACACAAGCAGGCACAGGAAGCAAAAAUGAAUGCGGAUUGUGUUGAGGGAAGGGGGCGAAGGCAGUAGGGAGAGAAG